This 148-nucleotide non-coding RNA is filed under the name Chlorocebus sabaeus (green monkey). Lineage: Eukaryota; Metazoa; Chordata; Mammalia; Primates; Cercopithecidae. The record is from Rfam by way of RNAcentral.
GCCGGGCGCGGUGGCUCACGCCUGUAAUCCCAGCUACUCGGGAGGCUGAGGCAGGAGAAUGGCGUGAACCCGGGAGGCGGAGCUUGCAGUGAGCCAAGAUUGCGCCACUGCACUCCAGCCUGGGUGACAGAGCCAGACUCUGUCUCAA